Non-coding RNA from Phoenix dactylifera (date palm), 1283 nucleotides. The record is from RefSeq and is a predicted model, not a curated record. Lineage: Eukaryota; Viridiplantae; Streptophyta; Magnoliopsida; Arecales; Arecaceae.
UAACCAUUUUUUAUGGUUAUCAUUUUGAAAGUUUUCAAAUGUUUGAUUUGCUGUUCUAUGGAUGCAGAGAACACUAAUACAUCAUCAAUGUAUGUAAUAAUAAAUUGAGAAAAUGGAUUGAAUAUUUCAUUCAUUAUACUUUGAAAUUCUGAUGGAGCAUUUUUUAAUCCAAAGGGCAUUACAUUCCAUUCGUAAUGUCUAAAUGGUACUGUAAAAGCUGUUUUAUAUAUGUCAGUUUUAUCUAUUUGAAUCUGCCAAUAUCCUGAUUUUAAAUCAAAUUUUGAAAAUAUUAGUGCUUGACUCAGCCUAUUCAAUAAGUCUUUCUUAUUGGGUAAUGGAUAUCUUAUCCAUUUUAACACCUUAUUUAAGGGUUUAUAAUUAAUAACUAAUCUAGGUACUCCUCUUUCUUUUUUUGCAUUUUUAUUCGCAUAAAAUGCAGUACAACUUCAUGGAAAUUGAGACUUUCUAAUUAGUCCUCUAUUUAGGAGUGUAUCUAUUUCUUUUUUGCAUAAAUUAAGAUAUUCUUGAUUCAUUUGUGUAGGUCUGGUUUUUGUUGGAACGUUCCUUUCAUUAAAGGAAUCUUCAUAUGGCAAGGAUACAAUAUGUUUUUUCCUUGUCCAAAAUGCAUUAGAAUUUGCUGGUGACAUCUACCCUCACCAUGUGCACCGACCCAUACCCCACUGAAGUGGUCCAGAAACCAGAUGAACCUGAUAAGGCAAGUGAGGUGCCCUGCGGUCAAACUGAUCCAGUCCCAAAUGGAGUUGAAACUGUGGCAGGUGAUGGCGAUGAAGAAAUGACUGAUGCAGAGGCUGAUGAAAAUACCCCAAACACUGAUACUGAGAUGCAAGAAGAAAAGGUUACUGAAACAUCUGAUAGUGAUUCCGAGCUUAGAUCUGAUGCCAAUCCUUCCCAGGAGCUUUGUACAACAAGUGAAGAGCAAAAUCCUUGAAUUUCAGAGGCGCCAUGAGGGAAAUGGAUUGGAUUUAGCUUGCUGGAGGGCGAAUGAAAUGAAAAUAUUCUGUUCCCACUGUUUUAGUUGAAGAUAUUAAGAGUACUCUGUUUGGUUUGCAUGCCCCUAACAAGGGAAGAUAUCAUAUAUCUGUAGAACCUAAGCAACUGCUCAGCCAGUUUUGAAUUAUAGUUUUGCUAUACAGAACAAUUUAUUGUAAGGAUAGUAUGAUUCAAAUGGCACUAGACAUUGUUUCAAACUGUGAACAUUUUGAGGAUACCAACUGGCUCAGUUGUUAAAGCCACUGGGUGUUUAAUACAAGUGACGUGGGUCA